CAGAGAGGAAAUGGAGUCUCUGCUGUGCCUUCUUGAUGGUAGCCAUAGUGUUUGUGCUCCAAAUCAGGUCGUCUCUCAAAUACACGCCCAGAAAACAAAAUUCAGAGACCCACUCCACGAAGUCCCCAUCGAUAAGCAGUGGCUGGAUGACUGUUUUCCUCCUUCUAUAGUCCAUAGUCUUUGAGGUGUUGAGGAUCAAAUUGUUCUCCCUACAACAGACCGACAACCGCUGCACCUCCUCUCUAUAGGCGGACUCAUCAUCACCAGAAAUGAGUCCCACCACAGUAGUGUCAUCAGCAAACUUAAUGAUAUUGUUGCUGAAGUGACAGGGGGUGCAGUCAUAGGUGUAGAGGAUGUAGAGC
Molecule: long non-coding RNA, 362 nt
Organism: Thalassophryne amazonica
Lineage: Eukaryota; Metazoa; Chordata; Actinopteri; Batrachoidiformes; Batrachoididae
Exons: 3
Source: RefSeq, a predicted model, not a curated record